This is a long non-coding RNA of Poeciliopsis prolifica (blackstripe livebearer), 2414 nucleotides long. RefSeq lists it as uncharacterized. Lineage: Eukaryota; Metazoa; Chordata; Actinopteri; Cyprinodontiformes; Poeciliidae. The transcript is spliced from 3 exons. The record is from RefSeq and is a predicted model, not a curated record.
ACACAGCGCUGCAGGGAUGAUAUCAACUGGGAUGUGAAAAUCAUUUUACAAAACUGAUUUUUUUUUAACGAUUUUAGGAGCAAUCUCGUGUGAAAUUAUGGGAAUUAGGCUACAGUAAACUACUACAGAUUAGAGUAAAUAUUUUGUUGGCGCUGAUUCACUUCAAGCCCGAUGCACUCCGUCCAGAGACUGACAUCUGACGAGUCAGGACAACAGAUUUUGUCAAUACCCACCAAGUGUCCUCCAUCUCUCUGGUGUCGCUCAUUUUCCUAUAUUAAGGACAUCUUAACUUCCAGAGCUCUGCCUUUUCAUCCAUCCAUUUAAUCUCAUGAUCUCAACCUAACUGUUUGAAAGUUUUUCGCCAGUGAAGCAGCUCAAAGCUGACCUUGUAUAGACUCUUACUGACCAGACCACACCACACCUGUGUCCCUGAAUCCAUGGAAGCCAAAGCCAAGGCAGGGGCUCCAGCACCCAAGGCAGCAUCCAAAACAGACAAGAAGGAGCCAGCAGCACCACGCAAGGCUGAUCACGCCCCUGCGGACCCAGAGCCCGAGGAUCCCCGCUUCUCCUCUGUUCAAGAUGGAGCAGCAGAAGCUGAGUCAGCAGCGGGUGACAAGGCCUCUGGUACAGACUCUAUGGAACAUCUCAAGCCUUUUCUUAUUGGCGGUGCCAUUAUCGCUGCAGGAGCCAUUUUGCUGGGAGUUCUGCUGCUGGCAAGGAGAAAUUAAAACCAAAUUAAGAUAGGAAUAUUGCUGACUGGUUCACAGACUUUUCUGGUUUGAUGAGCGAUGGGGAGACACAGCAGUCUGUGUGUAUUUUCUUUUUUAUCUUUGUCUUAUUUAGGGUUUCUUUUUUGGCCUGCUUUCAUGUGUAGUGCAUCAGCCUAUGUAAUGUUUGAUCAAGGCUUUAUAGGGAGCAUAACUAUACUUACUAUAUGCAUGACGUUGCUACAAUACUGCAUAUAAAAUGUAAUUAGAACAUUUUUUAAAAAGAAAAAAACUACACUCCAUUACAUAGCCAAAUGAACUCUUUAAUGUAUAAAUAUUGAUAGAGUUUUGAUAUUUAUGCAAUCUUGCUGUUUAUUUUGCUUAAGGUCAUGAAAAAAAAUCUCUAUCAAUGUCCCUCGACUAUCUAUGAUUUCAAAGUAAAUGAGUUGGUGAAAGGAGAAUGUUCUGAAAGUUUUGGCCAAAUAAACUAAAUACAAGCUGAAUAGUGAAUCGUAAAGAUUGAGAUUAAUUUGAGUCUGUGCUCUAGAGAAAGUUUACUUUUGUGACCUUGGAAACAGAAGCUGAAGUAUAGAUUUUGAUCAGUUUUGGGCUGGAAACAUGCAAAGUGUGUUUAAUAUAUGAAGUAUGUGCCAAGAGAGGUAAAAAAAAUACAUUAAAAUCUAUUUCAUGUUGAGAUAAAGACAUUAGUUUUUAUCCAGAGUCAAACCUGCAUAUUUUGGUUGAUUCUCAGUUGUUACAGAUGCUUUUCCUGGGCUAAGUUCAGAAAAAAAUACACUAUAUUAAUGUUCAGAAAUCUAAAAUCACUUACCUUUUUUUUUCUUUUUUUUCUUACAAUCAGAACAUACAAUCAUGGCAUGGGUAAUGAUAAAGACUGCAAAGGACUGAACAUGGAAUCAAAUAUUCUUUUGGUGUAGAAUAAUGAAGAUAUUUUUUUCUUGUCAAAUACUAAUACAAAUUUAUUAUCUCUCACAUAUUUCCAAGCAAAAAUACUUUUGAUAUUUGAAUUUGUUUACAUCUAACACUUGACACUGUAUUAUAUGUGGGUUACAUUAGACUGAAAGACUGCUAUCAAAACAUCAGAUGUUUUUGUCUUUCCUCUGUGGUGUUGUUGAAUGCAAAAACCAUAUAGGUGACAUGAAAGUACCUUACAUUUACAUAAGCAUAAAAGUUAUGUGGAUGUUUGCUCUCGUAAUUCACUCACAGAAAAAACACACACAGUUGUUGCUGCACAAAUUUAUCUGUACAGCGGUUCACAGUAAUUUCUGCUUGCACUGCAUAACUCAAGUUGACUGACUACAGUAGAAAGAUACGUCUCACACACAUACACACACUGGUGGUCUUAAUUUAAAUAAAUUAAACACAGUUUAGAGAAAGUUAUUCAUAAACAUUCACAACUUCCCUAUUACGAUAAAAAAAAUAGUAUGCCAGUACAAAAAUGUCACCUUACAUUGUACUAUACAGUGUAUUUAAAAAAGUAGUAUAAGAAGAAAAUUCCUAUUUUCAUAAUUUCAAAAGCGUAUAAAUGCAAUAAUUCAAGUAGGAGUCCUCAUUUAGCAUAUGUGCUGUAGCAGAUUAAAAUACAUAGAUGAUGUAAUCAUGUAUGGUGUUACUGAUGGCUAUGAUAGUGAUGAUAUUUAUCAUGGUGACUGUAAUGAUGAUACUGAUGGAUAUGAUAUUAUAUAUAUA